GGCUCGGUAGCUUAGUUGGUAAAGCGCUCGUCUAGCAUACAAGAGUCCUGGGUUCAAAUCCCAGCCGAGUAC
Non-coding RNA from Aedes aegypti (yellow fever mosquito), 72 nucleotides. The record is from Rfam. Lineage: Eukaryota; Metazoa; Arthropoda; Insecta; Diptera; Culicidae.